GACGAACGCUGGCGGCGUGCUUAAUACAUGCAAGUCGAACGGAAAGGCCCUGCUUUUGUGGGGUGCUCGAGUGGCGAACGGGUGAGUAACACGUGAGUAACCUGCCCUUGACUUUGGGAUAACUUCAGGAAACUGGGGCUAAUACCGGAUAGGAGCUCCUGCUGCAUGGUGGGGGUUGGAAAGUUUCGGCGGUUGGGGAUGGACUCGCGGCUUAUCAGCUUGUUGGUGGGGUAGUGGCUUACCAAGGCUUUGACGGGUAGCCGGCCUGAGAGGGUGACCGGCCACAUUGGGACUGAGAUACGGCCCAGACUCCUACGGGAGGCAGCAGUGGGGAAUAUUGCACAAUGGGCGGAAGCCUGAUGCAGCAACGCCGCGUGCUGGAUGACGGCCUUCGGGUUGUAAACCGCUUUCGCCUGUGACGAAGCGUGAGUGACGGUAAUGGGUAAAGAAGCACCGGCUAACUACGUG
This 468-nucleotide ribosomal RNA is filed under the name uncultured bacterium. RNAcentral's name for it is "partial 16S ribosomal RNA". It matches the Rfam family "Bacterial small subunit ribosomal RNA", at positions 28 to 507 of the family's 1533-position model. The record is from RNAcentral.